Amblyraja radiata (thorny skate) is the source of this 365-nucleotide long non-coding RNA. RefSeq lists it as uncharacterized. Lineage: Eukaryota; Metazoa; Chordata; Chondrichthyes; Rajiformes; Rajidae. The transcript has 3 exons. The record is from RefSeq and is a predicted model, not a curated record.
UCCAGCAAGUACAGGCCAUAAAGCCGUCAAGCACUCAUCAUAUGUUAACCCAAUCAUCUCUGGGAUCAUUCUCAAAUACCUCCUCUGGACCCUCUCCAGCACCAACACAGCCCUCCUCAGAUGUGGGGGCCCAAAACUGCUCACAAUACUCCAAAUGUGUUCGGACCAGCACCUUAUAAUGUCUCAGCAUAACAUUCCUGCUUUUAUAUUCUAGCCCUUCCAAAAUGAAUCCUAACAUUGCAUUUGCCUUCCUGACUACCGAUUCAACCUGCAAAUGAACAUUUUGGGAAUACUGCAUCAGCACUCCCAAGUCCCUUUGCACUUCCGAUUUCUGAAUCCUCUCCCCAUUUAGAAAAUAGGUUGUC